CAGGACUUCAAUCCAAUUAGAAAGCAAUUGGUUGCACUCAUAACAAUUGUUCCACUAUUGUAUCACCAAGCACAUCUUGUGUGGCAGGCUGAUGUCAAUGUGCUGCCUGUGUACAAGCUGAGAAGGACCACUUGUAGCAAUUGGUGAGAAGUCUGCAUAGCACCUGGAGCUAUGAAAGCCAGCUAACAGGGAGGAAUCUUCCAGGCCAGCCCUUGACAGACUUACCAUACCCUGCAACAUAGCUUAUGGUGUAUUCAACAAUAAGGACUUACAUCUAGUUCUAAUGUGCAGUCAAUAACAAUGGCAGUUACCUUUGUGAUUUGUAAGGCAUCAGGAAUCUCCCUGGCCAUCAGCUACUAGAAAAAGAACAUCCCUAGGAACUGGGAUUUUCAUUCAAAAACAUUCUGAAUAUGCCUUUUCCCGCCACACAGUACCUUCAUCACUUAAACUCCAUAACUCUCUUUGUAGACCAAGCUGGCCUUAAACUCACCUCUGCUUCCCAAGUGCUGGGAUUGAAGGUGUGUGCCACCAAUGCCCAGCCUUUUUUUACAUUUAUAGACAUAGCCUGUUGUUGGGUUUCAAGAGGACAGCAACCCAGAGAAGAGUUCCACAGCAGCUACCCAACACCAAGACCUGCCAUCGACUGAAAACCUCACACUAGCCUGGUUCCCCAGCAAUCUCUUCUGGCAGGGUUACAGUCUGGCCCCAGAGGCUUCUGCUUCUAGAAGGUCCUGCUCAUGUACCCCAUCAACCCUGCCUCCUGUCCACCUCAGACACUGCUGCCUAACUGGCCUAACUGCUGCAAAAAGAGAGCAAGUGCCCCACCACUGCUCCAGCUCAACCUUGUGUGUCAACUGUGCAGCUAGCCAAAACCCUUGAUUACACACACCUCAUUCUUAAUUGAAAGUCUGGGCUUGGAAAGCCCCAGGCCAAUGCAACCUGAGUCUCUGACUUGUCAAGUAGAGUAGCUGAGUGUCUGUGCCCUUGAAAAGAAAGACUGUCAUCUGUCACCUUCCUCCCCUGACCCAGCUUCCUGAGUGCACUCCUGAGGAACAGCUGCAGAGAUCACCACUCCCAUAGCCUCGUGGGGCCUUGUAGGCCUCCCUGUCUCCACCCCUUCUUUGCUGAAACCAGGAGAGUAUAGAAACAGGAUGGCUGUCCCCCAUGGAAGGCAAUGAGCAAUAAAAGAACAAGGACACUUAACCUGGGGAAAGGAAAGCUGAUGAAAAAGUUUGGAUGGAAGAUGAAGAGGUCACCAUCCUCACCCUUGGGUCACUCUCCCACUUCAGCCUAUGCCUUCAUCUCAAGUUUGGGUAGAACCUUACAGUUCUGCCGCAUCCACUCACAGACACUCAGUAAAAAUGGCCCAGCAUGAGGGGAGGAGAGGACAAGAAGUCAAGCUGGAACUGAACUGGAAGCUUCCUCCCUGCUGGCAAAUUUUCCCAGUGCCAGAAGGUGUUAUACAGGCCACUGGGGGAGAAAAAUCAUCAGGGGUUACUCAUCUGUGAACCCUAUGUACUAUACUAGUAGUCUGUGAAGUCAUGAUGGCAUGAUUGUUACGAAGGUAACCAGCUGAUUCCAAUUUGAGCUGAGAUCUGCUCCGCAGGAGUUUGGACAUGGCACUGUGGACUUCAGCCUGUGGUCCUCACAUUGCACCUACUGCUUUUGUCUUGCUAAGUGGGAAUGUAGUCAAACUAGCUCCUAAAAAGUGGUGUUUGUACCCACAGCCGUGUAGCUUUCUGCCUUAUCAGAGAAGCUUCCUUUUACAGCAAAUAGCAAUUCAUGCAGAUUCAUUGCUGCUCAAGGUGCUGAGAAUAACGAGCUGUUAAGUGCUCAGCCCUAAAUGGAACAUAUAUAUGUUACCCUCUCCAAGACUCAGGGAACAUCACAGAAGCAGCAACAGAAAGAAUGUAGGAGCUGGAUGGUGCUGGCUGGGGAACUAAGAACACUCACUGCUCUUCCAAAGGACUUUAGUUCAGUUUCUAGAACCCCUGUCAAGAGACACAAUUAUCUCUUACUCCAGCUCCAGAGGGUCUUCUGGACUCCAUGAGCACUUGCACUCAAAUGCACACACCACAUACUAACACAUACACACAAUCCAAAACAAUGACACCAGGCAUGGUGGCGCUCACCUUUAAUCCCAGCACUCUGGAGGCAGAGGCAGGUGGAUCUCUGUGAGUUCAAGGCCAGCCUGGUCUACAGAACGAGUUCUAAGACAGCCAGGGCUACACAGAGAAACCCAGUCUUGCGCAGGGGGGUGGGUAUCUAGAUGAUGAUAAGGGCCAGGAAAUACUAUCUUCUGGGCAUGACUUGACUGUUGAAAUCAUGAACCCACACCCCCCAAGAUUGCCUACAUGGUGUCCGCACCAGACUGGUCUAACAACAUCUGGCCAUGAGUGAAGGAGGGGCUCACAGAGCCCUACCCCUCCCUGGGGAACUAUUGGCUGUUGAUCGGGGAGUGGGAAGCAUUAUCUUAGCUACUGGUAAGUUUCCCAUGCAGGUGGCUGUCCUUAAACUUUGAACCACAAGACAAAAGUCAGAGGAUACAUGGGGUCAAUGUAUCAGACUGAAUUAUAUACAUGAAUGAAACUGUGAACAAAUAAAA
RNAcentral lists this long non-coding RNA (2605 nucleotides) under Cricetulus griseus (Chinese hamster). Its description in RNAcentral is "lncRNA (ENSCGRG00015038496.1)". The record is from RNAcentral. Lineage: Eukaryota; Metazoa; Chordata; Mammalia; Rodentia; Cricetidae.